Molecule: long non-coding RNA, 875 nt
Organism: Ruditapes philippinarum (Manila clam)
Lineage: Eukaryota; Metazoa; Mollusca; Bivalvia; Venerida; Veneridae
Exons: 2
Source: RefSeq, a predicted model, not a curated record
UUAUAUGCCCGAAAGGGCAUAUUAUGUUAUACCCCCUGGCGUCCGUCUGUCUGUCCGUCCGUCCGUCCGUCCGUCCGUUAGCAAUUUGGUUUCCGGAGCAUAAGUUAAGUUCCAUUUGGCCCACAAUGUUCAAACUUCAUAGGAUGAUUGUCCAUAUUGGGUAGAAGACCCCUAUUGAUUUUGGGGUCAAAAGGUCAAAGGUCAAGGUCACUAUGACCUUAAAACUGAAAACAGUUUCCGGAGCAUAACUUAAGUUCCAUUCGACCCACAAUGUUCAAACUUCAUAGGAUGAUUGUCCAUAUUGGGUAGAAGACCCCUAUUGAUUUUUGGGUCACAAGGUCAAAGGUCAAGGUCGCUAUUACCUUGACACUGAAAACAGUUUCCGGAGCAUAACUUAAGUUCCAAUUGACCCACAAUGUUCAAACUUCAUAGGAUGAUUGUCCAUAGUGGGUAGAAGACCCCUAUUGAUUUUGGGGUCAAAAGGUCAAAGGUCAAGGUCACUAUGACCUUAAAACUGAAAACAGUUUCCGGAGCAUAACUUAAGUUCCAUUUGACCCACAAUGUUCAAACUUCAUAGGAUGAUUGUCCAUAUUGGGUAGAAGACCCCUAUUGAUUUUGGGGUCACAAGGUCAAAGUCACUUUUACCUUAAUACUGAAAACAGUUUCUAGAGCAUAAUUAAAGUUCCAAUUGGCCCACAAUAUUCAAACUUCUUAGGAUGAUUGUCCAUAUAAGGUAGAAGACCCCUAUUGAUUUAGGGGUCACAAGGUCAAAGGUUAAGGUCAUUAUUAAUAACUUAAGUAUUAAUCAACCUACAGCUGUAAAAUUUUAUAGGAUGAACAGCGAAUUCCCAUGUCUUACAAAUGCUUCAUCCUUA